AUGCGGUGCUGCUUGCUACAACCCCAGCAGCCGCCAUUGCUGGAGAUGGCGGUCACAGGAGCUGCAACCGGCAACGGCCGACGCUGGAGCGAGGUGCGUUUCUGGUGGCCUAGAGUCGACAUGCUACGUCCAGCAGAUUUUGAGCAUGUCGAUUGUAGCUCAAAAUCUGCUGGUCGUAGCAUGUUAAAAUUUGGUGGUGUAGAAUCAACAUGCUACGACGCUGGUCGACCAGCAAAUUUUGCAGCAGAUUUUGAGCGGUGGCGUAGAGUCGACAUGCUACAAUCGGCCUAUCACCUUAAGUUGUUGUUAAGUCUGCUGGUCGUAGCAUGUCACCUUUCGGCAAAUUUUUAUCAGGAAACAUUUAUUAUGUUUGAGAUACUUUCUACUUCCAGCAAAUUUUUAUCAGGAAACAUUUGUAUAGAGCUGACCGGCCCAACUUUGCGUCGACCGCUCGUGUGUCGCUCAAUCUGA
This 471-nucleotide ribosomal RNA is filed under the name Triticum aestivum (bread wheat). RNAcentral describes it as "partial small subunit ribosomal RNA". The record is from RNAcentral. Lineage: Eukaryota; Viridiplantae; Streptophyta; Magnoliopsida; Poales; Poaceae.